Molecule: long non-coding RNA, 964 nt
Organism: Hippopotamus amphibius kiboko
Lineage: Eukaryota; Metazoa; Chordata; Mammalia; Artiodactyla; Hippopotamidae
Exons: 3
Source: RefSeq, a predicted model, not a curated record
UUGAGGCGAGCCUUGGGCUGUUUUAGAGGCGCUGACAUCCGAGGAGACUUCUCCUGGGCUGGAUGAACAAUGUUUGAGAGAAGAAGAGGAGGGCAUAGAGCAGGCAGGCAGGGAAAGGAGCUGGGAGGGGCCCAGCUCUGAGGCCUCCCCACACCUAUCUUCUUGGAGGGAACUGGAUAUCGCUGAAGGAAAGUUGAAAAAUGAAAAAGGAUAACCUUUUCCCUUUCCCCAUCCAGGAAAUAGCUGAAGGAGGCCCAACAGCCAAGAUGAGCCCACUCGGCUCAAGAGAACACCCGAUGGAGGCUAAAGCCACCCUGGAAGGCCAAGUGCGAGUUGAAUUUUUUGAAGAGUCCAAGGUGGGCAUGACUGUGACAUUGGCCCUGGAGACUGGUUUCCCAUGAGUUGUUCUUUCUCAGGAGCUCCACAGUGCGGGGCCAUCUCCAGAAAACAGUCUUCAGUGUGUAUUUCCUUUUAUCAUCAACCCAGAGCCCCACGGCAGCUAAUGCAAGAGGCCAAAAAUGUUUUGGAGGAAGAAAAACAAAGGCAGGAAGUGGCGACGGCUUGACGGUGCGUGUGUGUCUGAGGAGAAGGGAGGGAGCCAUUUCAAUCUCUUCUUGUUUUUCCAAACUUCAAGGUCUAGGCAGCCCUCACAGGGCCGGCCCGACGCUCCCCGCGCAGCAUUUGGAGAUGGCCACCCGGAGAGGAGAAGGCUGGCGCCCGAGCCAGCCUUGUCAGGCGGAAACGGCUAACGAGGCGAUUUGCUCAGCAAAGCAGACCAAUCCUUUCCAAACUUCGUUUGAUUUGGCCCUAAAAGUGGGGGGUUGGGGGAUUCUGCAAUGCCUCCCGGACCCUCCUCGGUGGGCAGGCUGAGCGCUCCUUGGAGGGGACUCCUGAGCCCUGCACUCCACGCACCUUCCCAGGCGGGAUAUGGGAAUAAAGUGUGUCCAGGUGCCUCUGCCCAGCA